This 421-nucleotide ribosomal RNA is filed under the name uncultured bacterium. RNAcentral's name for it is "bacterial SSU rRNA". It matches the Rfam family "Bacterial small subunit ribosomal RNA", at positions 355 to 774 of the family's 1533-position model. The record is from RNAcentral.
UAAGGAAUAUUGGUCAAUGGACGCAAGUCUGAACCAGCCAUGCCGCGUGAAGGAUGAAGGUCCUCUGGAUUGUAAACUUCUUCUAUCUGGGACGAAAACGGGAUUUUUAUCUCAAUUGACGGUACCAGAGGAAUAAGCACCGGCUAACUCCGUGCCAGCAGCCGCGGUAAUACGUAGGCAGCAAGCGUUGUUCGGAGUUACUGGGCGUAAAGAGUGCGUAGGCGGUUUUCUAAGUUCGGUGUGAAAUCUCCCGGCUUAACUGGGAGGGUGCGCCGAAGACUGGGAAGCUGGAGUGUGGGAAAGGCAGGCGGAAUUCCUGGUGUAGCGGUGAAAUGCGUAGAUAUCAGGAGGAACACCGGCGGUGUAGACGGCUUGCUAGACCAUAACUGACGCUGAGGCACGAAAGCGUGGGUAGCAAACA